Molecule: ribosomal RNA, 465 nt
Filed under: Vreelandella stevensii
Lineage: Bacteria; Pseudomonadati; Pseudomonadota; Gammaproteobacteria; Oceanospirillales; Halomonadaceae
Description: partial 16S ribosomal RNA
Rfam family: Bacterial small subunit ribosomal RNA
Source: RNAcentral
CCUACGGGGGGCUGCAGUGGGGAAUAUUGGACAAUGGGGGCAACCCUGAUCCAGCCAUGCCGCGUGUGUGAAGAAGGCCCUCGGGUUGUAAAGCACUUUCAGUGAGGAAGAACGCCUGGUGGUUAAUACCCAUCAGGAAAGACAUCACUCACAGAAGAAGCACCGGCUAACUCCGUGCCAGCAGCCGCGGUAAUACGGAGGGUGCGAGCGUUAAUCGGAAUUACUGGGCGUAAAGCGCGCGUAGGUGGCUUGAUAAGCCGGUUGUGAAAGCCCCGGGCUCAACCUGGGAACGGCAUCCGGAACUGUCAAGCUAGAGUGCAGGAGAGGAAGGUAGAAUUCGCGGUGUAGCGGUGAAAUGCGUAGAGAUCGGGCGGAAUACCAGUGGCGAAGGCGGCCUUCUGGACUGACACUGACACUGAGGUGCGAAAGCGUGGGUAGCAAACAGGAUUAGAUACCCGAGUAGUC